CUACGGGAUGCACCAGUGAGGAAUAUUGCGCAAUGGACGAAAGUCUGACGCAGCCAUGCCGCGUGCAGGAUGACGGCGCUAUGCGUUGUAAACUGCUUUUAUAGGCCAAGAAACCUUCGGACGUGUCCGAAGCUGACGGUAGCAUAUGAAUAAGCACCGGCUAACUCCUUGCCAGCAGCCGCGGUAAUACUGAGGGUGCAAGCGUUAUCCGGAUUUAUUGGGUUUAAAGGGUCCGUAGGCGGAUCAUUAAGUCAGUGGUGAAAGCCGGCAGCUCAACUGUCGAACUGCCAUUGAUACUGGUGAUCUUGAAUACGGUUGAAGUUGGCGGAAUAGGUCAUGUAGCGGUGAAAUGCUUAGAUAUGACCUAGAACACCGAUUGCGAAGGCAGCCAACUAAGCCGUUAUUGACGCUGAGGGACGAAAGCGUGGGGAGCGAACAGGAUUAGAUACCCUCGUAGUC
This 459-nucleotide ribosomal RNA is filed under the name uncultured bacterium. RNAcentral describes it as "partial 16S ribosomal RNA". It matches the Rfam family "Bacterial small subunit ribosomal RNA", at positions 339 to 795 of the family's 1533-position model. The record is from RNAcentral.